UGGGGAAUAUUGCACAAUGGGGGAAACCCUGAUGCAGCGACGCCGCGUGAACGAAGAAGGUAUUCGUAUCGUAAAGUUCUGUCCUAUGGGAAGAUAAUGACAGUACCAUAGAAGAAAGCUCCGGCUAAAUACGUGCCAGCAGCCGCGGUAAUACGUAUGGAGCGAGCGUUGUCCGGAAUUAUUGGGCGUAAAGGGUACGCAGGCGGUUUAAUAAGUCGAAUGUUAAAGAUCGGGGCUCAACCCCGCAAAGCAUUGGAAACUGAUAAACUUGAGUAGUGGAGAGGAAAGUGGAAUUCCUAGUGUAGUGGUGAAAUACGUAGAUAUUAGGAGGAAUACCAGUAGCGAAGGCGACUUUCUGGACACAAACUGACGUUGAGGUACGAAAGCGUGGGGAGCAAACAGG
This 403-nucleotide ribosomal RNA is filed under the name bacterium. RNAcentral's name for it is "partial 16S ribosomal RNA". It matches the Rfam family "Bacterial small subunit ribosomal RNA", at positions 355 to 776 of the family's 1533-position model. The record is from RNAcentral.